AGAACCUGAAACCGUGUACGUACAAGCAGUAGGAGCCCACUUGUUGGGUGACUGCGUACCUUUUGUAUAAUGGGUCAGCGACUUAAUUUUAGUAGCAAGGUUAACCGUUUAGGGGAGCCGUAGGGAAACCGAGUCUUAACUGGGCGUCACAGUUGCUAGGAUUAGACCCGAAACCAGGUGAUCUAGCCAUGGGCAGGUUGAAGGUGAGGUAACACUUACUGGAGGACCGAACCGACUAAUGUUGAAAAAUUAGCGGAUGACUUGUGGCUAGGGGUGAAAGGCCAAUCAAACCUGGAGAUAGCUGGUUCUCCCCGAAAGCUAUUUAGGUAGCGCCUCGGACGAAUACUACUGGGGGUAGAGCACUGUUAAGGCUAGGGGGUCAUCCCGACUUACCAACCCUUUGCAAACUCCGAAUACCAGUAAGUACUAUCCGGGAGACACACGGCGGGUGCUAACGUCCGUCGUGGAGAGGGAAACAACCCAGACCGCCAGCUAAGGUCCCAAAGUUAUAGCUAAGUGGGAAACGAUGUGGGAAGGCUCAGACAGCCAGGAUGUUGGCUUAGAAGCAGCCAUCAUUUAAAGAAAGCGUAAUAGCUCACUGGUCGAGUCGGCCUGCGCNGUUGGCUUAGAAGCAGCCAUCAUUUAAAGAAAGCGUAAUAGCUCACUGGUCGAGUCGGCCUGCGCGGAAGAUUUAACGGGGCUAAGCUAUACACCGAAGCUGCGGCAAUGCAUUUUAUGUAUUGGGUAGGGGAGCGUUCUGUAAGCGGUUGAAGGUGGUCUGUAAGGGCUGCUGGAGGUAUCAGAAGUGCGAAUGCUGACAUGAGUAACGAUAAAGGGAGUGAAAAACUCCCUCGCCGGAAGAUCAAGGGUUCCUGUCCAACGUUAAUCGGGGCAGGGUAAGUCGACCCCUAAGGCGAGGCCGAAAGGCGUAGUCGAUGGGAAACAGGUUAAUAUUCCUGUACUGCUUAUAACUGCGAUGGGGGGACGGAGAAGGCUAGGUGGGCUUGGCGACGGUCGUCCAAGUUCAAGGGUGUAGGCUGAUUUCUUAGGUAAAUCCGGGAAAUCACUAAGGCUGAGACCCGAUGUCGAGUCACUACGGUGAUGAAGUCAUUGAUGCCAUGCUUCCGGGAAAAGCCUCUAAGCUUCAGGUUAUAAGCAAUCGUACCCCAAACCGACACAGGUGAUCAGGUAGAGAAUACCAAGGCGCUUGAGAGAACUCGGGUGAAGGAACUAGGCAAAAUGGUACCGUAACUUCGGGAGAAGGUACGCUCCUAGCGGUGAUGAGACUUGCUCUCUAAGCUGCCGGGAGUCGCAGAUACCAGGUGGCUGCAACUGUUUAUUAAAAACACAGCACUGUGCAAAAUCGAAAGAUGACGUAUACGGUGUGACGCCUGCCCGGUGCCGGAAGGUUAAUUGAUGGGGUUAGACUUCGGUCGAAGCUCUUGAUCGAAGCCCCGGUAAACGGCGGCCGUAACUAUAACGGUCCUAAGGUAGCGAAAUUCCUUGUCGGGUAAGUUCCGACCUGCACGAAUGGCGUAAUGAUGGCCACGCUGUCUCCACCCGAGACUCAGUGAAAUUGAAAUCGCAGUGAAGAUGCUGUGUACCCGCGGCUAGACGGAAAGACCCCGUGAACCUUUACUACAGCUUGGCACUGAACAUUGACCCUACAUGUGUAGGAUAGGUGGGAGGCUUUGAAGCGCAGUCGCUAGAUUGCGUGGAGCCGUCCUUGAAAUACCACCCUUGUAGUGUUGAUGUUCUAACGUCGCCCCCUUAUCGGGGGUGCGGACAGUGCCUGGUGGGUAGUUUGACUGGGGCGGUCUCCUCCCAAAGAGUAACGGAGGAGCACGAAGGUGGGCUAAUCACGGUCGGACAUCGUGAGGUUAGUGCAAUGGCAUAAGCCCGCUUGACUGCGAGACUGACAAGUCGAGCAGGUGCGAAAGCAGGUCAUAGUGAUCCGGUGGUUCUGAAUGGAAGGGCCAUCGCUCAACGGAUAAAAGGUACUCCGGGGAUAACAGGCUGAUACCGCCCAAGAGUUCAUAUCGACGGCGGUGUUUGGCACCUCGAUGUCGGCUCAUCACAUCCUGGGGCUGAAGUCGGUCCCAAGGGUAUGGCUGUUCGCCAUUUAAAGUGGUACGCGAGCUGGGUUUAGAACGUCGUGAGACAGUUCGGUCCCUAUCUGCCGUGGGCGUUGGAUGAUUGAGAGGGGCUGCUCCUAGUACGAGAGGACCGGAGUGGACGAACCUCUGGUGUUCGGGUUGUGUCGCCAGACGCAUUGCCCGGUAGCUAAGUUCGGAAUCGAUAACCGCUGAAAGCAUCUAAGCGGGAAGCGAGCCUCAAGAUGAGUCAUCCCUAGAGCUUUAAGCUCUCUAAAGGGUUGUCGGAGACUACGACGUUGAUAGGCAGGGUGUGUAAGCGUUGUGAGGCGUUGAGCUAACCUGUACUAAUUGCCCGUGAGGCUUAACCAU
This is a ribosomal RNA of Photobacterium jeanii, 2465 nucleotides long. It matches the Rfam family "Bacterial large subunit ribosomal RNA", at positions 545 to 2925 of the family's 2925-position model. The record is from Rfam. NCBI's taxonomy places the organism in Bacteria, Pseudomonadati, Pseudomonadota, Gammaproteobacteria, Vibrionales, Vibrionaceae.